This 492-nucleotide ribosomal RNA is filed under the name uncultured bacterium. RNAcentral's name for it is "partial 16S ribosomal RNA". It matches the Rfam family "Bacterial small subunit ribosomal RNA", at positions 29 to 507 of the family's 1533-position model. The record is from RNAcentral.
AGUGAACGCUGGCGGUAGGCCUAACACAUGCAAGUCGAACGGCAGCACAGUAAGAGCUUGCUCUUACGGGUGGCGAGUCGCGGACGGGUGAGGAAUACAUCGGAAUCUACUUUUUCGUGGGGGAUAACGUAGGGAAACUUACGCUAAUACCGCAUACGACCUACGGGUGAAAGCAGGGGAUCUUCGGACCUUGCGCGAUUGAAUGAGCCGAUGUCGGAUUAGCUGGUUGGCGGGGUAAAGGCCCACCAAGGCGACGAUCCGUUGCUGGUCUGAGAGGAUGAUCAGCGGCAUGGGAACUGAGACACGGUCCAGACUCCUACGGUAGGCAGCAGUGGGGAAUAUGGGACAAUGGGCGCAAGCAUUAUCCAGCGAUACCGAGUGGGUGAAGGAGGCCUUCGGGUUGGAAAGCCCUUUUGUGGGGAAAGAAAAGCAGCAGGUUAAUACCCCGCUGUACUGACGGUACCCAAAGAAGAAGCACCGGCUAACUUCGUG